Molecule: long non-coding RNA, 929 nt
Organism: Acinonyx jubatus (cheetah)
Lineage: Eukaryota; Metazoa; Chordata; Mammalia; Carnivora; Felidae
Exons: 4
Source: RefSeq, a predicted model, not a curated record
UUUACAGGGCCAAUGUCGGGGAAAUUCAUGAGCGGACACUUUUCUGACAGAAGUGAGAGUUUUCGCAAAGUAACCAAGCCAAGCAAAGCAGUGACAGUGCCAGGAAUAUAUGCUAUCUGCGCUCACCUCUUUCUUUUUGCUCUUUCUCAGACCUCCAACAGAUUGGGGAAGGGGGAAGGGAAGACACCAGAAGCAUCUCUAAAACCACUCUUGUUAUAGUCUAUACUCCAGGAGUGGACAGCAGGAAACCUCCGCGCACUAAGUGUGGUACUCAUGCCUCACAGGCCGCACUUCAUUUCAUUCUGGCACCCGGGGCCAUUACUUACCCAGUGAAAGAAGCCUCUAGAGUAGAAUGAGGUGCUUGAAUAGCUACCGACCCUUGCCGUGGACAGAAACUACAGCUGAAAUUCUCUCAUAGAAGCCUGGGAAUGAUGGCCUCAUAUGUAUAGCUGAACUUUUACUGAAGCACUGAGCUCUGAUGAAUGCAAUUAAGUGAGUAAAGACCAGACUCCAUUACAAAACUGGGGAUAGGAAGAGCAAUAUAUGGACAAAAGAAUGAAAGAAAAACAGUCACUGAGGGAAAAGAAAAUCGGAGAGAGAGAAACAGGAUGCGAGUGGAGAGGGGCAGGAAUAGAGGAACAUGCAAAAUCCGAAGCAAGCUCCAGGCUCUGAGCUUUCAUCACAGAGCCAGAUGCAUGGCUUGAACUUACGAACCAUGAGAUUGUGACCUGAGCUGAAGACAGAAGCUUAACAUACUGAGCCAUCCAGACACUCUUAAAGCCUCACAUUUAAAUCACUGUUUCCUUUGUUUAGAUUACAAAAUAAUGAUCAACAUAUUAGAUGUUGAAAGUAAAACUUACUUUUAUUACUUUUAUUAAAUUCUCCACAGGAAAUAAUAUACGUAAUAGAUCAAUGACGUUUGCAAUUUA